Sitodiplosis mosellana (orange wheat blossom midge) is the source of this 2719-nucleotide long non-coding RNA. RefSeq lists it as uncharacterized. Lineage: Eukaryota; Metazoa; Arthropoda; Insecta; Diptera; Cecidomyiidae. The record is from RefSeq and is a predicted model, not a curated record. The transcript is spliced from 3 exons.
UGUUAUUUUUUUUUCUUCUCUCUUACCUCUUACGCUGACCGUGCACAUACACACGCAUAGACAAUGUGUAUUCAUUAUCUCUUUGGAAUUGAAUAUAGAAUGCGCAAUAAAGCACUUUUGUCGAAACAAAGGCGAAUGAAGUAAAAAAGACAAGAGCGCGCGAAACAAGAGACGCUUUAGCGAACAUGCUCGGAACGGAGAGCGCGAACAAGUGGAAUUGUUGAUGGAAACAGAAUAUGUGAAUUAUAUUUAAUGUAGAUAUAUGUUGUGUGUCUGUGUAAUUCGUAUUUUCUUAUUUCAAUAGCUGUGUUCGCAUUCCAUUUCCAUUUCGUUUGGUGAGAAGUUCAAUUAGCUAAAUGAAAAUCAUAUGAGUUCAUACUCGGUUGGCACGCACGCAUAACAUACAAAUUUAGAGCACCACGAAUGGCACGGCGAGAUAUAGUAAAGAUCGUAACAGCAACCAAACCAAAGUAAAUACAAAAGUGUGUAUGUUUGAGUUCACGCCACGGAUACCAUAUGCGGAUCAGAUCGUUCCAUUGACGGCAAUCAUAGCCGUCUCACUUAGCCGAGGGUUUUUGCUGUGAAUCAUCCAUUCAUUCAUUCACAGGCUGAUUACAAUUGAAACGCAUAAAAGCGGACGGAGAGUGUUUUGUUGUUUUGCAACCAACAAUGAGCAUCAUUAUUUCGGAUUGCAGACGAGCGCGACGAUAUACACACCGAAUAAGGGAGCGAAAAUACAAUGGAAACCGUUUGCCAAAACGAUCACCAUCUAGAUCGACACACUGAAUAGCGUUGAGAUUAAUAUAACGGCAAUCAUACAUUCAUGCACGCACAUUUUUCGGGUUUUUUUUCUCGUUUUGUUUCGAUUCCAUUAAAUGAGGGCGUGUCUGUUUCUCCCAUAUUACAUGUUAUGUGACGGGUAAACAUUAGAAAUAGCAAGGAACUUACUACCGCUACAUUUCGUCCUUCGUAAAUUCCAUUUCGGAUCAAAUUAAAUGUUUUUUUUUUCUAAACCGUUUAAGUACAUUUAAAUUAUCGGAAGUACUCGGAAUUCAUAUAUGUUUGGAAGAAUGAGAAAAAAACUCAAUUGCCGUCACAAUCACUGAAUAAGCGAGAGAAAAACAAUGCAAAAUAAAAGAAAUGGUACAACACAAAUGUUUUGCGUUCAAUUUGUGUGAGAAUGAACGAGUGAUAAAAACAUUUGCCUACCAAAAAUGGCAAUUCAAUGGAGAGAUUUUUUUUUGCGAACUCAGCAUCAAUUACUCGAGAGUAUGUUUUGUGCAAAAGAAUAGAACGACAACAGCAUGUAAUAAGAAAAACCAACCGAGUCACAAAAUUUACGUGAAUUGUGUGUGUGUAUAUGUGCCUAUGAAACAAGGAAUACCUGCGCCAGCCAACAAUUCUCAGAAACAUACAAUUUUGCCUCUUCGCAUACAAAAACCGAAAGAGAUUAACUUUGUUUCUUCUCUCUGAUCUGUUUUUUUUUGUUGUUGUUGUUGCUUCACAUAUUUAUCUCUUGUCCAUUUACCAGAGAGCCCAUAAGAAACGAGCGGCCGAUAGAGAAAGUAACAUAAUAAUAAAAAAAAAAUCAUAAACAACAUCAAUUGCUCCGUAGACAUGACAUAGCCAAAAAAUUCUCAGUAUGGAUCAAAAAGUGUUUUUCGAGAGUAUUGUUCAAAGUAAACACCGAUAGUCGUUCUGUAUACACACACACACACCGUUUCUUUCCCUUCUGACAACAUGGUUCUUUGCUUUGCCUUUUCUUCCCCUUAAUUUAUAACCUACACUCCUUGUAGCAUUUUUCCUGUGAAGUGGCCAACCAUUUAAAAACACAACAUUCUCACACAAACAUGCAUAGCGACGCGCACAGAACACAAGGCGAGAAAUGCAUUAGUCAACAACAUUAAAUGAAGAAGAAGAAAACAAGGAAGAAACGAUAUAUGCUGGAAAUUUCGCCGCUUCCAAUGAUUCAACAAGUACACACUGAUGAGCCAUAGUUCAAAAGCCAUUCACGCAUUCAACACCGAGAAUGGAUCGUUUGAAUUUCAUUUCAUUUAUGAUUCAAACGCUCAUAAUUGACUCGCAACUCAUUAAAAAAUUGUUUCCAAUAACUUUCACACUUUAGAGAAACGGACGACCGAUCUCAUUAAAUGCCUAUGUUGCUCAUGGUGGUUUUUCAUCUUUCACUCAUUUCUCCUUCUCUUUUUGUUUAUUCAAUUUGAAAUGAUUAUAAAAAUAUGUAUGAAAAAGAGCAUAUUUAUGGGCUACAGAAUAAUGAUCAAGAGCAAUGUUUAUACCCAUUGGUCCAAAUGCUAAAUAAAUUAUUAAGCAGAAAAUUAGAGGUUCGUGCGAAUGAUCUUGCAAACACAGCGCGCGUGUUUGUGUACACUAUACACAAAAACUGUAAAUGAUUAAUCAUGACAUUUUCACAGAAUUCACGAUUAUUUUUAUUUUGCUUUGUCCUCCCUUUCUUUUUUUUCUCCCUCUCUAUCUCUGUUCCAUCGCUCAUACUGAUCUGAACGACGCGGAAAAAAUUUAAUUUUUUUUCACGCAAACCAAUUGAAAUUCGUAUGGAGACGGCGACAAAUGUAUGUUGGUUUUUUUUUUUGGUAUUCGAUACAUUCAUUUGGGAGCGUCAUGUAUACAAUCAUAUUCAACAUCUAAUAUCACAUAGUGAAAACAAAACAAAAAAACCAAAAUAUUGAAAACACGUACCAAU